CCUACGGGAGGCUGCAGUGAGGAAUAUUGGUCAAUGGGCGAGAGCCUGAACCAGCCAAGUCGCGUGAAGGAUGACUGUCUUAUGGAUUGUAAACUUCUUUUGUAGGGGAAUAAAGAAUGGUACGUGUACCAUAGUGAAUGUACCCUACGAAUAAGCAUCGGCUAACUCCGUGCCAGCAGCCGCGGUAAUACGGAGGAUGCGAGCGUUAUCCGGAUUUAUUGGGUUUAAAGGGUGCGUAGGCGGCCUGUUAAGUCAGCGGUGAAAUCUAGGGGCUUAACUCCUAAAUUGCCAUUGAUACUGGUGGGCUUGAGUGUAGAUGAGGUAGGCGGAAUGCGUGGUGUAGCGGUGGAAUGCAUAGAUAUCACGCAGAACUCCAAUUGCGAAGGCAGCUUACUAAGGUACAACUGACGCUGAAGCACGAAAGCGUGGGUAUCAAACAGGAUUAGAUACCCCAGUAGUC
RNAcentral lists this ribosomal RNA (460 nucleotides) under uncultured Porphyromonas sp. RNAcentral describes it as "bacterial SSU rRNA". It matches the Rfam family "Bacterial small subunit ribosomal RNA", at positions 338 to 795 of the family's 1533-position model. The record is from RNAcentral. Lineage: Bacteria; Pseudomonadati; Bacteroidota; Bacteroidia; Bacteroidales; Porphyromonadaceae.